UACAGAGGGGGCAAGCGUUGUUCGGAAUUACUGGGCGUAAAGGGCGCGUAGGCGGCCCUCUAAGUCGAACGUGAAAUCCCUGGGCUCAACCCAGGAACUGCGUCGGAUACUGGAUGGCUUGAAUUCGGGAGAGGGAUGCAGAAUUCCAGGUGUAGCGGUGAAAUGCGUAGAUAUCUGGAGGAAUACCGGUGGCGAAGGCGGCAUCCUGGACCGACAUUGACGCUGAGGAGCGAAAGCUAGGGGAGCAAACGGG
RNAcentral lists this ribosomal RNA (253 nucleotides) under uncultured bacterium. Its description in RNAcentral is "partial 16S ribosomal RNA". It matches the Rfam family "Bacterial small subunit ribosomal RNA", at positions 524 to 776 of the family's 1533-position model. The record is from RNAcentral.